This 452-nucleotide ribosomal RNA is filed under the name uncultured bacterium. RNAcentral describes it as "bacterial SSU rRNA". It matches the Rfam family "Bacterial small subunit ribosomal RNA", at positions 340 to 786 of the family's 1533-position model. The record is from RNAcentral.
UACGGGAGGCAGCAGUGGGGAAUAUUGCACAAUGGGCGCAAGCCUGAUGCAGCCAUGCCGCGUGUAUGAAAAAGGCCUUCGGGUUGUAAAGUACUUUCAGUCGUGAGGAAGGUGUUAAGGUUAAUAACCUUAGCAAUUGACGUUAGCGACAGAAGAAGCACCGGCUAACUCCGUGCCAGCAGCCGCGGUAAUACGGAGGGUGCGAGCGUUAAUCGGAAUUACUGGGCGUAAAGGGCACGCAGGCGGUUAAUUAAGUUGGAUGUGAAAUCCCCGGGCUUAACCUGGGAAUGGCAUUCAAGACUGGUUAGCUAGAGUCUUGUAGAGGGGGUAGAAUUCCAUGUGUAGCGGUGAAAUGCGUAGAGAUGUGGAGGAAUACCGGUGGCGAAGGCGGCCCCUGGACAAAGACUGACGCUCAUGUGCGAAAGCGUGGGGAGCAAACAGGGAUUAAUACC